This 1121-nucleotide long non-coding RNA is filed under the name Anas platyrhynchos platyrhynchos (common mallard). RNAcentral describes it as "lncRNA (ENSAPLG00000020806.1)". The record is from RNAcentral. Lineage: Eukaryota; Metazoa; Chordata; Aves; Anseriformes; Anatidae.
CAGGUAUUAACUAGUUUGAAACAGUUCUGAAAAGUUAGUUGAAAAUGAAAAUUUUGGCCUUGCUGAUAAAUUUAAGCUGUUUGAGCUAAGAAAAAUGAGGGGAAGAGAAAGGAACCAGGUGGUUUUGCCAUGGGAGGAACCAGGUGGUGUUACCAUUGUAGGGCAUAAAAUAGGGAUCUGUCAACCAGAGAUAUGAGCCAGUAAAUAACUGCAGGCUAGAAAAGUGCCAUUUCAGCAUGUUACUCCUGUCCAGAAACACAGUGACUGGGUGUGCACAACAGUGCCUGGAAACGUGGCCAUAUCGUUUCCAGACCUGAAUUGGUUUGUGCACCAUCAGCACAGAAGUACCCUCGCUGCCCUCAUCAAUCCCGGUAAUCCAAGGCUGCCAUGUGCCUGCUCAGGCAUCUCUGCAUCUACUGUGUGUUUUGGGGAAUGAUGAUCUUGUUCCAGCUGGGAUGGCUGCAGGUCUCCUUCCAGAGAAACAAUUAAUCUGAAUAAGAUGCCUGCAUUUUCUUUUUUUUUUUUUUUUUUUUUUCUUUUGGUUGCUGAAAGAGUGUCUGUCACUGCUGUUGGAUGCUUUCCUGCAAAGGUUCUUCUAGUCUGUAAUAUGGAAGAUGAAGAAAUUGCAAAACUCUCCAAUCAGGGCCAGAAAAAGGAUUGUCUCCCAGUGACAACUGCUAGCACCACAGGGCUAGAACUGGUAAAAGACAAAGCAAAACCGCCAUGCCUUUGGGGAAAUGACUCUGCUACCUUGCCAAGAAACAUGUUUGGCAGGUUUAUAAGCCAAGGUGGAGUUGAAGUUCUCUGAGCCCUUCUGCCCUCCUUGAAAGAUGUCAGGUGGGAACCUCAGCAAAGGUAAUAUCUUGAGCAGCAUCUCCAGGGUUGGGCAAACUGGUUCAGGUAGAAGAAGCUGCAGCUCACACUGAACCUUUGCCCAUUUCUUGAUGGGCCCAGCCUAAAUUGUGUCUUCUUCCCCCUCACAAACCUAAAUCUGGCACACAGUUGUCCUCAGAACAGAACCUUCAUAGAUGAUGUGAAAAGCAUGGCUGAUAUCUUAAAAUCUUUCUCUUGAAUGUCUGCACCUCUGCCCUCCCUUGAGGUUAAUUAUUUGAACGCCAGCC